UACGGGAGGCAGCAGUGGGGAAUUUUGGACAAUGGGCGCAAGCCUGAUCCAGCAAUGCCGCGUGAGUGAAGAAGGCCUUCGGGUUGUAAAGCUCUUUUGUCAGGGAAGAAACGGCCUGUUCUAAUACAGUGGGCUAAUGACGGUACCUGAAGAAUAAGCACCGGCUAACUACGUGCCAGCAGCCGCGGUAAUACGUAGGGUGCAAGCGUUAAUCGGAAUUACUGGGCGUAAAGCGUGCGCAGGCGGUUUUGUAAGUCUGUCGUGAAAUCCCCGGGCUCAACCUGGGAAUGGCGAUGGAGACUGCAAGGCUAGAGUUUGGCAGAGGGGGGUAGAAUUCCACGUGUAGCAGUGAAAUGCGUAGAUAUGUGGAGGAACACCGAUGGCGAAGGCAGCCCCCUGGGUCAAAACUGACGCUCAUGCACGAAAGCGUGGGGAGCAAACAGGAUUAGAUACCCUGGUAGUCCACGCCCUAAACGAUGUCUACUAGUUGUCGGGUCUUAAUUGACUUGGUAACGCAGCUAACGCGUGAAGUAGACCGCCUGGGGAGUACGGUCGCAAGAUUAAAACUCAAAGGAAUUGACGGGGACCCGCACAAGCGGUGGAUGAUGUGGAUUAAUUCGAUGCAACGCGAAAAACCUUACCUACCCUUGACAUGGCUGGAAUCCCUGAGAGAUUGGGGAGUGCUCGAAAGAGAACCAGUACACAGGUGCUGCA
Molecule: ribosomal RNA, 714 nt
Filed under: Duganella sp.
Lineage: Bacteria; Pseudomonadati; Pseudomonadota; Betaproteobacteria; Burkholderiales; Oxalobacteraceae
Description: bacterial SSU rRNA
Rfam family: Bacterial small subunit ribosomal RNA
Source: RNAcentral